RNAcentral lists this ribosomal RNA (460 nucleotides) under uncultured bacterium. RNAcentral's name for it is "partial 16S ribosomal RNA". It matches the Rfam family "Bacterial small subunit ribosomal RNA", at positions 338 to 795 of the family's 1533-position model. The record is from RNAcentral.
CCUACGGGUGGCAGCAGUGAGGAAUAUUGGUCAAUGGGCGCGAGCCUGAACCAGCCAAGUAGCGUGAAGGAUGACUGCCCUACGGGUUGUAAACUUCUUUUAUAAAGGAAUAAAGUGAGACACGUGUGCCUUUUUGUAUGUACUGUAUGAAUAAGGAUCGGCUAACUCCGUUCCAGCAGCCGCGGUAAUACGGAGGAUCCGAGCGUUAUGCGGAUGUAUUGUGUUUAAAGGGAGAGUAGAUGGGUUGUUAAGUCAGUUGUGAAAGUGUGCGGCUCAACCGUAAAAUUGCAAUUGAUACUGGCAGUCGUGAGUACAGUUGAGGUAGGCGGAAUUCGUGGUGUAGCGGUGAAAUGCUUAGAUAUCACGAAGAACUCCGAUUGCGAAGGCAGUUUACGAAACUGCCACUGACAUUGAGGCUCGAAAGUGUGGGUAUCAAACAGGAUUAGAUACCCUAGUAGUC